Molecule: ribosomal RNA, 283 nt
Filed under: uncultured prokaryote
Description: partial 16S ribosomal RNA
Rfam family: Bacterial small subunit ribosomal RNA
Source: RNAcentral
UACGUAGGGUGCGAGCGUUGUCCGGAAUUACUGGGCGUAAAGAGCUCGUAGGUGGUUUGUCACGUCGUCUGUGAAAUUCCGGGGCUUAACCUCGGGCGUGCAGGCGAUACGGGCAAUACUUGAGUGCUGUAGGGGAGACUGGAAUUCCUGGUGUAGCGGUGAAAUGCGUAGAUAUCAGGAGGAACACCGGUGGCGAAGGCGGCUUACUGGACGAUAACUGACGUUGAGGCCCGAAAGCGUGGGGAGCAAACAGGAUUAGAUACCCGGGUAGUCCCUGAGCGGG